RNAcentral lists this ribosomal RNA (505 nucleotides) under uncultured bacterium. Its description in RNAcentral is "partial 16S ribosomal RNA". It matches the Rfam family "Bacterial small subunit ribosomal RNA", at positions 28 to 507 of the family's 1533-position model. The record is from RNAcentral.
GACGAACGCUGGCGGCGUGCCUAAUACAUGCAAGUAGAACGCACAGUUUAUACCGUAGCUUGCUACACCAUAGACUGUGAGUUGCGAACGGGUGAGUAACGCGUAGGUAACCUGCCUGGUAGCGGGGGAUAACUAUUGGAAACGAUAGCUAAUACCGCAUAAUAUUGAUUAUUGCAUGGUAAUUAAUUGAAAGGUGCAAUUGCACCACUACCAGAUGGACCUGCGUUGUAUUAGCUAGUAGGUGAGGUAACGGCUCACCUAGGCGACGAUACAUAGCCGACCUGAGAGGGUGAUCGGCCACACUGGGACUGAGACACGGCCCAGACUCCUACGGGAGGCAGCAGUAGGGAAUCUUCGGCAAUGGACGAAAGUCUGACCGAGCAACGCCGCGUGAGUGAAGAAGGUUUUCGGAUCGUAAAGCUCUGUUGUAAGAGAAGAACGGGUGAGAGAGUGGAAAGUUCACACUGUGACGGUAUCUUACCAGAAAGGGACGGCUAACUACGUG